GAUGAAGAACGCAGCGAAAUGCGAUAAGUAAUGUGAAUUGCAGAAUUCAGUGAAUCAUCGAAUCUUUGAACGCACAUUGCGCCCGCCAGCAUUCUGGCUGGCAUGCCUGUUCGAGCGUCAUUUCAACCCUCGACCUCCCCUUGGGGAAGUCGGCGUUGGGGACCGGCAGCAUACCGCCGGCCCCGAAAUGGAGUGGCGGCCCGUCCGCGGCGACCUCUGCGUAGUAAUCCAACCUCGCACCGGAACCCCGACGUGGCCACGCCGUAAAACCCCCAACUUUCUGAACGUUGACCUCGGAUCAGGUAGGAAUACCCGCUGAACUUAAGCAUAUCAAUAAGCGGAGGA
RNAcentral lists this unclassified non-coding RNA (345 nucleotides) under soil metagenome. RNAcentral describes it as "partial contains 5.8S ribosomal RNA, internal transcribed spacer 2, and large subunit ribosomal RNA". The stretch from base 1 to 120 matches the Rfam family "5.8S ribosomal RNA", at positions 35 to 154 of the family's 154-position model. The record is from RNAcentral.